RNAcentral lists this transfer RNA (64 nucleotides) under Dipodomys ordii (Ord's kangaroo rat). It matches the Rfam family "tRNA". Rfam says of the family: Transfer RNA (tRNA) molecules are approximately 80 nucleotides in length. Their secondary structure includes four short double-helical elements and three loops (D, anti-codon, and T loops). Further hydrogen bonds mediate the characteristic L-shaped molecular structure. tRNAs have two regions of fundamental functional importance: the anti-codon, which is responsible for specific mRNA codon recognition, and the 3' end, to which the tRNAs corresponding amino acid is attached (by aminoacyl-tRNA synthetases). tRNAs cope with the degeneracy of the genetic code in two manners: having more than one tRNA (with a specific anti-codon) for a particular amino acid; and 'wobble' base-pairing, i.e. permitting non-standard base-pairing at the 3rd anti-codon position. Lineage: Eukaryota; Metazoa; Chordata; Mammalia; Rodentia; Heteromyidae. The record is from Rfam by way of RNAcentral.
GAGAAGUUGGCUCAGUGGUAGAGCGCUUGCCUUGCAUGCAAGAGGUCCUGGGUUUGAUUAUUCA